RNAcentral lists this ribosomal RNA (377 nucleotides) under uncultured eukaryote. Its description in RNAcentral is "partial 18S ribosomal RNA". It matches the Rfam family "Eukaryotic small subunit ribosomal RNA", at positions 592 to 976 of the family's 1831-position model. The record is from RNAcentral.
CAAUAGCGUAUAUUAAAGUUGUUGCAGUUAAAAAGCUCGUAGUUGGAUUUCGGGGCAGCCUGGCUGGUCCGCCGCAAGGCGAGUACUGGCCAGCCGCCCUUCCUCUCGAAAGCCCCGACUGCUCUUUAUUGCAGUGGUCGGGUAGUUCGGGACGUUUACUUUGAAAAAAUUAGAGUGUUCAAGGCAGGCCUACGCCUGAAUACAUUAGCAUGGAAUAAUGGAAGAGGACCUCGGUCCUAUUUUGUUGGUUUCCAGGACCGAAGUAAUGAUUAAGAGGGACAGUUGGGGGCAUUCGUAUUUAAUUGUCAGAGGUGAAAUUCUCGGAUUUAUGAAAGACGAACAACUGCGAAAGCAUUUGCCAAGGAUGUUUUCAUUAA